UACGAAGGGGGCUAGCGUUGCUCGGAAUCACUGGGCGUAAAGCGCACGUAGGCGGAUGUGUCAGUCAGGGGUGAAAUCCCGGAGCUCAACUUCGGAACUGCCCUUGAUACAGCACGUCUUGAGUCCGGAAGAGGUGGGUGGAAUUCCUAGUGUAGAGGUGAAAUUCGUAGAUAUUAGGAAGAACACCGGUGGCGAAGGCGGCCCACUGGUCCGGUACUGACGCUGAGGUGCGAAAGCGUGGGGAGCAAACAGG
Molecule: ribosomal RNA, 253 nt
Filed under: uncultured bacterium
Lineage: Bacteria
Description: partial 16S ribosomal RNA
Rfam family: Bacterial small subunit ribosomal RNA
Source: RNAcentral